UACGAAGGGGGCUAGCGUUGUUCGGAAUUACUGGGCGUAAAGGGCGCGUAGGCGGUGUGUCAAGUCAGGCGUGAAAGCCCCGGGCUCAACCUGGGAACCGCGCUUGAGACUGGCACGCUAGAGUUCGGGAGAGGAUGGUGGAAUUCCCAGUGUAGAGGUGAAAUUCGUAGAUAUUGGGAAGAACACCGGUGGCGAAGGCGGCGAGCUGGUCCAUUACUGACGCUGAGGCGCGACAGCGUGGGGAGCAAACAGG
This 253-nucleotide ribosomal RNA is filed under the name uncultured bacterium. RNAcentral describes it as "partial 16S ribosomal RNA". It matches the Rfam family "Bacterial small subunit ribosomal RNA", at positions 524 to 776 of the family's 1533-position model. The record is from RNAcentral.